GGUCAAGUUGUUAAGAGCAUACGGUGGAUGCCUUGGCACCAGGAGCCGAUGAAGGACGUAGGAGGCUGCGAUAAGCCUCGGGGAGCUGUCAACCGAGCUGAGAUCCGAGGAUUUCCGAAUGGGGAAACCCGGCCCCAGUCAUGUGGGGUCACCUGCACCUGAAUGUAUAGGGUGUGUGGAGGGAACGCGGGGAAGUGAAACAUCUCAGUACCCGCAGGAAGAGAAAACAACCGUGAUUCCGUGAGUAGUGGCGAGCGAAAGCGGAAGAGGCUAAACCAGUUUCGUGUGAUACCCGGCAGGGGUUGCGUUACUGGGGUCGUGGGACCUAUCAGCUAGAUCUGCCGGUCUGGCAAGAAGUAAGAAAGCAUCGCGUUAGUUGAACGCUCUGGGAAGGGCGACCGUAGAGGGUGAGAGUCCUGUAGGCGAAAACGUGAUGGUCUUCUGAUGGUGUUCCCAAGUAGCAGCGAGCUCGUGGAAUUUGCUGUGAAUCUGGCGGGACCACCCGCUAAGCCUAAAUACUCCCUGGUGACCGAUAGCGGACUAGUACCGUGAGGGAAAGGUGAAAAGUACCCCGGGAGGGGAGUGAAAGAGUACCUGAAACCGUGUGCUUACAAUCCGUCAGAGCCUUCGGGUGAUGGCGUGCCUUUUGAAGAAUGAGCCUGCGAGUUAGUGGUGCGUGGCGAGGUUAACCCGUGUGGGGUAGCCGUAGCGAAAGCGAGUCUGAAUAGGGCGAAAUAGUCGCGUGCUCUAGACCCGAAGCGGAGUGAUCUACCCAUGGCCAGGGUGAAGCGACGGUAAGACGUCGUGGAGGCCCGAACCCACCAGGGUUGAAAACCUGGGGGAUGAGCUGUGGGUAGGGGUGAAAGGCCAAUCAAACUCCGUGAUAGCUGGUUCUCCCCGAAAUGCAUUUAGGUGCAGCGUCACAUGUUUCACGCCGGAGGUAGAGCUACUGGAUGGUCUAGGGGGCCUACAAGCUUACUGAAAUCAGCCAAACUCCGAAUGCCGGUGUGUGAAGUGUGGCAGUGAGACUGCGGGGGAUAAGCUUCGUAGUCGAGAGGGAAACAGCCCAGAACACCGGCUAAGGCCCCUAAGUGUGCGCUAAGUGGGAAAGGAUGUGGGGUCGCUCAGACAACCAGGAGGUUGGCUUAGAAGCAGCCACCCUUUAAAGAGUGCGUAAUAGCUCACUGGUCAAGUGGUUCCGCGCCGACAAUGUAGCGGGGCUUAAGCGUACCGCCGAAGCCGUGUCAUUCACACUAUAGAUCGGCUCCCGGGCUUGAACCGGGUGUCUAGUCGUGUGGAUGGGUAGGGGAGCGUCGUGCAUCCAGGGAAGCAGCCGCGUGAGCGAGUUGUGGAGGGUGUGCGAGUGAGAAUGCAGGCAUGAGUAGCGAUUGCAGAGUGAGAACCUCUGCCGCCGGAUGACCAAGGGUUCCUGGGCCAGGUUAAUCCGCCCAGGGUAAGUCGGGACCUAAGGCGAGGCCGACAGGCGUAGUCGAUGGACAACGGGUUGAUAUUCCCGUACCCGUGUGGAUGCGCCCAUGGUGAGGCGAGGGAUACUAACCACCCGAGCGAAGUGGAUCCUUCGGGAGAAACUGAGUGAGCGUGGGAUCUGAUCUCGUAGUAGUCAAGCGAUGGGGUGACGCAGGAAGGUAGCUCCGCCAGUGAGUGGUAGUACUGGUGUAAGCGUGUAGGCCGGGUGAUAGGCAAAUCCGUCAUCCAUGUAGGCUGAGACGUGAUGCGUAGCCGAUUGAGGCGAAGUAGAGUGAUCCUAUGCUGCCGAGAAAAGCCUCUAGUGAGUGUUCACGCGGCCCGUACCCCAAACCGACACAGGUGGUCAGGUAGAGAAUACCGAGGCGUUCGGGUGAACUGUGGUUAAGGAACUCGGCAAAAUGCCCCCGUAACUUCGGGAGAAGGGGGGCCCGCUGACUUGAAGCUCUUUACGGGCUAGGGUUGGUUGGCCGCAGAGACCAGGGAGAAGCGACUGUUUACUAAAAACACAGGUCCGUGCGAAGUCGCAAGACGAUGUAUACGGACUGACGCCUGCCCGGUGCUGGAACGUUAAGGGGACCGGUUAGUCACUUUGGUGGCGAAGCUGAGAACUUAAGCGCCAGUAAACGGCGGUGGUAACUAUAACCAUCCUAAGGUAGCGAAAUUCCUUGUCGGGUAAGUUCCGACCUGCACGAAUGGCGUAACGACUUCUCCGCUGUCUCAACCACAGGCCCGGUGAAAUUGCAUUACGAGUAAAGAUGCUCGUUACGCGCGGCAGGACGGAAAGACCCCGGGACCUUUACUAUAGCUUGGUAUUGGUGUUUGGUUCGGCUUGUGUAGGAUAGGUGGGAGACUGUGAAGCUGCGACGCUAGUUGUGGUGGAGUCAUCGUUGAAAUACCACUCUGGUCGUACUGGAUAUCUAACCUCGGACCGUGAUCCGGUUCAGGGACAGUGCCUGGUGGGUAGUUUAACUGGGGCGGUUGCCUCCCAAAGGGUAACGGAGGCGCCCAAAGGUUCCCUCAGCCUGGUUGGCAAUCAGGUGUUGAGUGUAAGUGCACAAGGGAGCUUGACUGUGAGACUGACGGGUCGAGCAGGGACGAAAGUCGGGACUAGUGAUCCGGCACUGGCUUGUGGAAGCGGUGUCGCUCAACGGAUAAAAGGUACCCCGGGGAUAACAGGCUGAUCUUGCCCAAGAGUCCAUAUCGACGGCAUGGUUUGGCACCUCGAUGUCGGCUCGUCGCAUCCUGGGGCUGGAGUAGGUCCCAAGGGUUGGGCUGUUCGCCCAUUAAAGCGGCACGCGAGCUGGGUUUAGAACGUCGUGAGACAGUUCGGUCCCUAUCCGCCGCGCGCGUUGGAGACUUGAGGAAGGCUGUCCCUAGUACGAGAGGACCGGGACGGACGAACCUCUGGUGUGCCAGUUGUUCUGCCAAGGGCAUGGCUGGUUGGCUACGUUCGGAAGGGAUAACCGCUGAAGGCAUCUAAGCGGGAAGCCUGUUUCGAGAUGAGGUCUCCCACCCUCUUGAAGGGUUAAGGCCCCCUAUAGACGAUGGGGUUGAUAGGCCCGAGAUGGAAGCCUAGUAAUAGGUGGAGUUGACGGGUACUAAUAGGCCGAGGGCUUGCUCAC
Molecule: ribosomal RNA, 3110 nt
Filed under: Crossiella cryophila
Lineage: Bacteria; Bacillati; Actinomycetota; Actinomycetes; Pseudonocardiales; Pseudonocardiaceae
Description: Bacterial large subunit ribosomal RNA
Rfam family: Bacterial large subunit ribosomal RNA
Source: Rfam by way of RNAcentral